GUGAGGAAGCUGCCUUUGAGAGUGGGAUAGCUUCUGGAAACGGAUGGUAAUACCGCAUAACAUAGCGAAACCGCAUGAUUUUGCUAUCAAAGUAUUUCGCUCAGAGAUGGCCUCGCGUCUGAUUAGAUAGUUGGUGAGGUAACGGCUCACCAAGUCGACGAUCAGUAGCCGGACUGAGAGGUUGAACGGCCACAUUGGGACUGACACACGGCCCAUACUCCUACGGGAGGCAGCAGUGGGGGAUAUUGCACAAUGGGGGAAACCCUGAUGCAGCGAUGCCGCGUGGAGGAAGAAGGUUUUCGGAUUGUAAACUCCUGUCGUAAGGGAAGAGGAAGGACUGUACCUUACAAGAAAGCUCCGGCUAACUACGUGCCAGCAGCCGCGGUAAUACGUAGGGAGCGAGCGUUGUCCGGAAUGACUGGGUGUAAAGGGAGCGUAGGCGGGAUGGCAAGUCAGAUGUGAAACCUGAGGGCUCAACCUUCAGACUGCAUUUGAAACUGCUGUUCUUGAGUGAAGUAGAGGUAAGCGGAAUUCCUGGUGUAGCGGUGAAAUGCGUAGAGAUCAGGAGGAACAUCGGUGGCGAAGGCGGCUUACUGGGCUUUUACUGACGCUGAGGCUCGAAAGCGUGGGGAGCAAACAGGAUUAGAUACCCUGGUAGUCCACGCUGUAAACGAUGAAUAGUAGGUGUGGGGGGAUUGCCCCCCUCCGUGCCGCAGUAAACACAAUAAGUAAUGCCCAUGGGGAGUACGACCGCAAGGUUGAAACUCAAAGGAAAUGACGGGGGCCCGCUCCCGCAGUGGAGUAGUCGGUUUAAUUCGAAGCAAACGAGAAGAACCUAUCCAGGUCCGAUCAUCGAGCGACGGAUCCAGAGACGGAUAUUUCCUUCGGCACACAACGACAGGGGCUGCAUGGCUGUCCGUCAGCUCGUGUCGUGAGAUGUCGGUUUAAGUCCCGCAGCGAGCGCAACCCUUAUCAUUAGUUGUUAUGCAAGAGCACUGUAAUGAGAUUGCCGUUGACAAAAUGGAGGAAGGGGGGGAUGACGUCAAAUCAUCAUGCCCUCUAUGACCUGGGCUACGCACGUACUGCAAUGGCGAUAGAACAGAGGGAAGCAAGACAGCGAUGCGGAGCCAAUCCCAAAAAAUCGCCCCAGUUCAGAUUGCAGGCCGCAACUCGCCGGCAGGAAGUUGGAUCUGGUAGUAAUCGCAGAUCAGCAUGAGGCGGGGAAUACGUUCCCGGCCCGUGCCAUCACCGCCCUUC
This 1257-nucleotide ribosomal RNA is filed under the name uncultured bacterium. Its description in RNAcentral is "bacterial SSU rRNA". It matches the Rfam family "Bacterial small subunit ribosomal RNA", at positions 117 to 1398 of the family's 1533-position model. The record is from RNAcentral.